AGAGUUUGAUCCUGGCUCAGGACGAACGCUGGCGGCGUGCUUAACACAUGCAAGUCGAACGGAGUAUAGUGAGUAGCUUGCUACUUGCUAUACUUAGUGGCGGACGGGUGAGUAACGCGUGGGCAAUCUGCCCGUAAGUGGGGGAUAACACCGUGAAAACGGUGCUAAUACCGCAUAACAUUAUUAGUAUGCAUGUACUGAUAAUCAAAGGAGAAAUCCGCUUACGGAUGAGCCCGCGUCUGAUUAGCUAGUUGGUAGGGUAACGGCCUACCAAGGCGACGAUCAGUAGCCGGCCUGAGAGGGUGACCGGCCACACUGGAACUGAGACACGGUCCAGACUCCUACGGGAGGCAGCAGUGGGGAAUCUUCCGCAAUGGGCGAAAGCCUGACGGAGCAACGCCGCGUGAGUGAUGAAGGCCUUCGGGUUGUAAAACUCUGUCUUCAGGGAAGAAAAAAAUGACGGUACCUGAGGAGGAAGCCACGGCUAACUACGUGCCAGCAGCCGCGGUAAUACGUAGGUGGCGAGCGUUGUCCGGAAUUACUGGGCGUAAAGAGCGCGUAGGCGGGGAUUUAAGUCAGGAGUGAAAACUACCGGCUCAACCGGUAGCCUGCUCUUGAAACUGAAUUUCUUGAGGGUAUGAGAGGAAAGCGGAAUUCCCAGUGUAGCGGUGAAAUGCGUAGAUAUUGGGAGGAACACCAGUGGCGAAGGCGGCUUUCUGGCAUACAACUGACGCUGAGGCGCGAAAGCGUGGGGAGCAAACGGGAUUAGAUACCCCGGUAGUCCACGCCGUAAACGAUGGGCACUAGGUGUAGGAGGUAUCGACCCCUUCUGUGCCGUAGUUAACACAAUAAGUGCCCCGCCUGGGAG
RNAcentral lists this ribosomal RNA (868 nucleotides) under uncultured bacterium. Its description in RNAcentral is "bacterial SSU rRNA". It matches the Rfam family "Bacterial small subunit ribosomal RNA", at positions 9 to 873 of the family's 1533-position model. The record is from RNAcentral.